GGGCCCGCACAAGCGGUGGAGCAUGUGGUUUAAUUCGAUGAUACGCGAGGAACCUUACCAGGGCUUAAAUGUAAGUUGCAUAGAUCAGAGAUGGUCUUUUCUUCGGACUACUUACAAGGUGCUGCAUGGUUGUCGUCAGCUCGUGCCGUGAGGUGUCAGGUUAAGUCCUAUAACGAGCGCAACCCCUGUCGUUAGUUACCAGCAAGUAAUGUUGGGUACUCUAGCGAGACUGCCGGUGCAAACCGUGAGGAAGGUGGGGAUGACGUCAAAUCAUCACGGCCCUUACGUCCUGGGCUACACACGUGCUACAAUGGCCGGUACAGAGAGCAGCCACUACGCGAGUAGGAGCGAAUCUUCAAAGCCGGUCUCAGUUCGGAUCGCAGUCUGCAACUCGACUGCGUGAAGCUGGAAUCGCUAGUAAUCGGAUAU
Molecule: ribosomal RNA, 429 nt
Filed under: uncultured bacterium
Lineage: Bacteria
Description: bacterial SSU rRNA
Rfam family: Bacterial small subunit ribosomal RNA
Source: RNAcentral